RNAcentral lists this transfer RNA (85 nucleotides) under Rhodospirillaceae bacterium. RNAcentral's name for it is "tRNA-Leu". It matches the Rfam family "tRNA". From Rfam's summary of the family: Transfer RNA (tRNA) molecules are approximately 80 nucleotides in length. Their secondary structure includes four short double-helical elements and three loops (D, anti-codon, and T loops). Further hydrogen bonds mediate the characteristic L-shaped molecular structure. tRNAs have two regions of fundamental functional importance: the anti-codon, which is responsible for specific mRNA codon recognition, and the 3' end, to which the tRNAs corresponding amino acid is attached (by aminoacyl-tRNA synthetases). tRNAs cope with the degeneracy of the genetic code in two manners: having more than one tRNA (with a specific anti-codon) for a particular amino acid; and 'wobble' base-pairing, i.e. permitting non-standard base-pairing at the 3rd anti-codon position. The record is from RNAcentral. RNAcentral also lists the same sequence under 1 other name. Lineage: Bacteria; Pseudomonadati; Pseudomonadota; Alphaproteobacteria; Rhodospirillales; Rhodospirillaceae.
GCGGGUGUGGCGGAAUUGGUAGACGCGCUGGUUUUAGGUACCAGUGGCCUUGGCCGUGGGGGUUCAAGUCCCUUCACCCGCACCA